This 873-nucleotide ribosomal RNA is filed under the name uncultured Planctomycetota bacterium. RNAcentral's name for it is "bacterial SSU rRNA". It matches the Rfam family "Bacterial small subunit ribosomal RNA", at positions 8 to 896 of the family's 1533-position model. The record is from RNAcentral. Lineage: Bacteria; Pseudomonadati; Planctomycetota.
AGAGUUUGAUCCUGGCUCAGAAUGAACGUUGGCGGCGUGGAUUAGGCAUGCAAGUCGAGCGAGAAGUCUUAGAAAGAUACUUCGGUUGAUUUUUAAAAUGGACAGCGGCGAAAGGGAGAGUAACGAGUAGAUUACGUACCCGAGGGUCCGGGAUAGCUGCGGGAAACUGCAGGUAAUACCGGAUAAUGUUUCCGAACCAAAAAUUUAUUGCCCUCGGAGCGGUCUGCUUACUAUUAGCUCGUUGGUGGGGUAAGAGCCUACCAAGGCAAAGAUGGUUAGCGGGUGUGAGAGCAUGGCCCGUCUCACUGGGACUGAGACACUGCCCAGACGUCUACGGACGGCUGCAGUCGAGAAUCUUCCGCAAUGGGCGAAAGCCUGACGGAGCGACGCCGCGUGCGGGAUGAAGGCCUUCGGGUUGUAAACCGCUGUCAGAGGGGAGCAAAUUUUGAGCAAUCCUCAGAGGAAGCACAGGCUAAGUUCGUGCCAGCAGCCGCGGUAAUACGAACUGUGCGAACGUUAUUCGGAAUCACUGGGCUUAAAGGGUGCGUAGGCGGCUUUGUAGGUCAGAUGUGAAAGCCCACGGCUCAACCGUGGAAUUGCGUUUGAAACCACAAAGCUUGAGGGAGAUAGAGGAGAGCGGAACUGAUGGUGGAGCGGUGAAAUGCGUUGAUAUCAUCAGGAACACCGGUGGCGAAAGCGGCUCUCUGGAUCUCUUCUGACGCUCAGGCACGAAAGCUAGGGGAGCGAACGGGAUUAGAUACCCCGGUAGUCCUAGCUGUAAACGAUGAGUACUAGUCCGUGGGGGCUUCCACACCUUCUCGGACGUAGCGAAAGUGUUAAGUACUCCGCCUGGGGAGUAUGGUCGCAAGGCAA